RNAcentral lists this transfer RNA (83 nucleotides) under Caudoviricetes sp. RNAcentral's name for it is "tRNA-Leu". It matches the Rfam family "tRNA". Rfam says of the family: Transfer RNA (tRNA) molecules are approximately 80 nucleotides in length. Their secondary structure includes four short double-helical elements and three loops (D, anti-codon, and T loops). The record is from RNAcentral. Lineage: Duplodnaviria; Heunggongvirae; Uroviricota; Caudoviricetes.
AGGGGAUUGUCGUAAUUGGUAGCCGAGACAGUCUUAGAAACUGUUGCUUCAGAAGCGUGAGGGUUCAAGUCCCUCAUCCCCUA